RNAcentral lists this ribosomal RNA (450 nucleotides) under uncultured bacterium. RNAcentral's name for it is "partial 16S ribosomal RNA". It matches the Rfam family "Bacterial small subunit ribosomal RNA", at positions 354 to 796 of the family's 1533-position model. The record is from RNAcentral.
GUGGGGAAUAUUCCGCAAUGGACGAAAGUCUGACGGAGCAACGCCGAGUGAGUGAUGAAGGUUUUCGGACUGUAAAGCUCUGUUGUUUAGGACGAAAGUGCCUGUUGCAAAUAGUUACAGGUAUUGACGGUACUGAACGAGGAAGCCACGGCUAACUACGUGCCAGCAGCCGCGGUAAUACGUAGGUGGCAAGCGUUGUCCGGAAUUAUUGGGCGUAAAGAGCAUGUAGGCGGGAAUCUAAGUCUGUUGUGAAAAUGCGGGGCUCAACCCCGUAUUGCGAUGGAAACUGGGUUUCUUGAGUGCAGGAGAGGAAAGGGGAAUUCCCAGUGUAGCGGUGAAAUGCGUAGAUAUUGGGAGGAACACCAGUGGCGAAGGCGCCUUUCUGGACUGUGUCUGACGCUGAGAUGCGAAAGCCAGGGUAGCGAACGGGAUUAGAAACCCCUGUAGUCC